Molecule: long non-coding RNA, 821 nt
Organism: Medicago truncatula (barrel medic)
Lineage: Eukaryota; Viridiplantae; Streptophyta; Magnoliopsida; Fabales; Fabaceae
Exons: 2
Source: RefSeq, a predicted model, not a curated record
AAUUCAAAAAAUAUGCCUUUCUCCAAUUGUCAAAAUUUAAUGUGUCCUCCUAUUAUUUGCAGGGUCGUUGGCAAAUUAAAUUAAAUGCGUUACCACCAAAUUUAAGACUCUGCAUUUCUCUGUCUCCCUCCUCCCACAUAUUAAAUUUUAAGAAUCUCACACUUACUCAAACAAAACAUAUAUGCCCUCUUCUUCACCACUCUUGUUACAUUUUCAUCGUUCUUUCUGAGUACUAAAUGUUCUUUUGGUGACAUAUUAUUUAAGCGAUUCUAGUAACAUAUUAUUGAUGUCUCACAUUGAUUAACAAAGGUUUGUUAUUGUUUCUUCAGAAAAAAGUGGAGGACAGGAGCAACAAGCUUUGUUUUUUUAUAGUUGAGAAUUACAGCUAGUUGAGAUGAGAUAUUGGUGCGGUUCAAUCAGAAGGCAGUGCUUUUAUAAUUCAAAAAGCUCUGUGUUAUUUGAUUGAGCCGUGCCAAUAUCACGUGUUAAUCAGGCACAGCUUCUUUCUCCUCAUUAGCAAUCUGCAGCAUAGCAAAGAUUUUAUCUUCAUCCAGCAAGCUACCUAGCCAUCUUACUAGUCUUUUUUCUUGUGACAUGAUAAUGAAGAAGAAAAAAAAAACUCUAGUUGUGGGAUCACACAACAAAUGAAUUGGUACGGUAGGUAGGAAAUUAAUUCAUUAAUCUGUUGUACCUUUUUUUCUUUCUUUUUUUCCUUUUUGAAGGUGGUAGGGACUUAAUUCAUUUGAGGACGGAUCAAUAGGCAACAUAUAAGUUUUUCUUUAUGUUUACUUUGCUUCUAUUUAAAGGUUCUUAGCUCAAAA